RNAcentral lists this ribosomal RNA (440 nucleotides) under uncultured bacterium. RNAcentral describes it as "partial 16S ribosomal RNA". It matches the Rfam family "Bacterial small subunit ribosomal RNA", at positions 338 to 795 of the family's 1533-position model. The record is from RNAcentral.
CCUACGGGGGGCUGCAGUGGGGAAUAUUGGACAAUGGGCGAAAGCCUGAUCCAGCAAUGCCGCGUGAGUGAUGAAGGCCUUAGGGUUGUAAAGCUCUUUCGGCGGGGACGAUGAUGACGGUACCCGCAGAAGAAGCCCCGGCUAACUUCGUGCCAGCAGCCGCGGUAAUACGAAGGGGGCUAGCGUUGUUCGGAAUUACUGGGCGUAAAGCGCACGCAGGCGGUCCGUUGAAUUAGAAGUGAAAGCCCUGGGCUCAACCCGGGAAUUGCUUUUAAGACUGGCGGACUAGAAUCCGGAAGAGGGCAGUGGAAUUCCCAGUGUAGAGGUGAAAUUCGUAGAUAUUGGGAAGAACACCAGUGGCGAAGGCGACUGCCUGGUCCGGGAUUGACGCUCAUGUGCGAAAGCGUGGGGAGCAAACAGGAUUAGAUACCCUGGUAGUC